CAAACCGGCGUGCAUUAGGCAUGCAGUCGAACGAUAUCCUGGGCAUCCAAGUAGCAAUAUGAGGAUGUCCUGGUGACAGUGGCGAAAGGGUGAGUAACGCGCGGGUAAUCUGCCCUCAAGUUGGGAAUAGCUCUGCGAAAGUGGAAUUAAUACCGAAUGUGGUCGUCCUUCACAUGAAGGAUUAUCCAAAGCCGGGGACUGUAAGGCCUGGCGCUUGAGGUUGAGCCCACGUACUAUCAGCUUGUUGGUGAGGUGAUGGCUCACCAAGGCUAUGACGGUUAGCUGGUCUGAGAGGAUGGUCAGCCACACUGGGACUGAGACACUGCCCAGACUCCUACGGGAGGCCGCAGUCGAGGAUCAUUCGCAAUGCGCAAAAGCGUGACGGUGCGACGCCGCGUGCAGGAUGAAGGCCUUCGGGUCGUAAACUGCUGUCGUGAGGGAACAAUGCCCGCGAUGUUAAUACCAUUGCGGGGUGAUAGUACCUCAAGAGGAAGCCACGGCUAACUCUGUGCCAGCAGCCGCGGUAAUACAGAGGUGGCAAGCGUUGUUCGGAUUUACUGGGCGUAAAGGGUGCGUAGGCGGUUCUGUAUGUCGGAUGUGAAAUCUCACAGCUCAACUGUGGAAUUGCAUUUGAAACUACAGGGCUGGAGUACAGGAGAGGAGAGCGGAAUUCUCGGUGUAGCGGUGAAAUGCGUAGAUAUCGAGAGGAACACCGGUGGCGAAGGCGGCUCUCUGGACUGAUACUGACGCUGAGGCACGAAAGCUGGGGGAGCAAACAGGAUUAGAUACCCUGGUAGUCCCAGCCCUAAACGGUGUGCACUUGGUGUGGGAGGGAUUGUCCCUUCCCGCGCCGGAGCUAACGCGUUAAGUGCACCGCCUGGGGAGUACGGUCGCAAGAUUAAAACUCAAAGGAAUUGACGG
This 921-nucleotide ribosomal RNA is filed under the name uncultured Verrucomicrobiota bacterium. RNAcentral describes it as "bacterial SSU rRNA". It matches the Rfam family "Bacterial small subunit ribosomal RNA", at positions 36 to 916 of the family's 1533-position model. Lineage: Bacteria; Pseudomonadati; Verrucomicrobiota. The record is from RNAcentral.